CGCGACCCCAGGUCAGGCGGGACUACCCGCUGAGUUUAAGCAUA
RNAcentral lists this ribosomal RNA (44 nucleotides) under Digitaria radicosa. RNAcentral's name for it is "partial 26S ribosomal RNA". The record is from RNAcentral. Lineage: Eukaryota; Viridiplantae; Streptophyta; Magnoliopsida; Poales; Poaceae.